UGGAGACGGUGGGUUUUUGAAAUCGACUCGUCUCCCCCUCUCUCUUCACACCACAGUACCGCCCCUCUCUCAACUACUCUGUACUCAGGUGGUUAACAGAGGAGAAGCAGUCCAAGCCGGAGCUUCAGCCAUCGUUCAGCGUGGAGACGACCGAUCCAACGGCUCUGGAGACCUCAACGACUCUGGAGACGGUGGUUUUUGAAAAUCGCCGUUCAGCUGUCGUUCAGUUGUCGUUAAGUUGUCGUUCAGCCGUCGUUCAGUUGUCUUUUAGCCGUCAUUCAGCCGUCGUUCAGUUGUCGUUCAGCCGCCGUUCAAUGUUAAGCAGAAAACGCCACCGUCAUUCAGCGAAUCAAAUGUCUAUCUCAAGUGUUAAUUGUAGUAAUCCUGAUGUACUUAAGUACAGAUGCAUCAGCUGUCGAUGUAAUCGGAAAGCUACGAUUAGGAUCUCAGAGACUACGGAGAAUUCAAAUAGACUCUUUUACGGGUGCCCAGAGUUUACAUGUAACUACUUCCCUUGGUGUGAUCCUAUAAAUGCACCAACAACGGAGUCUUCGCCUAAAGAAGUCCCAAUAAACAAUCUCGCUCAUGACUUUUGAGAGAUACAAGAAGAGCUGCGGGGGUUGCGAGAGGAGGUGCGGGUGUUACGAGAGGAAGUGCGGGUGUUACGAGAGGAGGUGCGGAGGUUGCGAGAGGAGGUGUGGGUGUAACAAGAGGAGGUGCGGGUGUUGCGAGAGGAGAUGCGAGGGUUGCAAGAGGAGAUGCACAGUGAAAAAAUUAGAAUAGAUGAAGUGGAAAAAUUUGUUCGAUUGGUGAAGGUUGUAGCUAACUUUGUAUUUGUUUUUUUAGUCGGUGUAUUUGUAGCAAUUGUGAUUGGUAGAAGAAUGUGACGAUGUUAUGUAACUGAAAGAGAUGUUAGUAAUGAAAUGGUGUUCUCUUUUUUGGUGUUUCA
Long non-coding RNA from Macadamia integrifolia, 949 nucleotides. RefSeq lists it as uncharacterized. The record is from RefSeq and is a predicted model, not a curated record. NCBI's taxonomy places the organism in Eukaryota, Viridiplantae, Streptophyta, Magnoliopsida, Proteales, Proteaceae. The transcript is spliced from 2 exons.